GGGCCCAUAGUUAAACGGGAUAACUUCUGCUUUGCAAGCAGAAAUUGACAGUUCGAUUCUGUCUGGGUCCA
RNAcentral lists this transfer RNA (71 nucleotides) under Spirochaetota bacterium. RNAcentral describes it as "Spirochaetes bacterium tRNA-Ala". It matches the Rfam family "tRNA". From Rfam's summary of the family: Transfer RNA (tRNA) molecules are approximately 80 nucleotides in length. Their secondary structure includes four short double-helical elements and three loops (D, anti-codon, and T loops). Lineage: Bacteria; Pseudomonadati; Spirochaetota. The record is from RNAcentral.